GGGGAUAUAGCUCAGUUGGUAGAGCGCUUGCCUCUCAUGUAUGAGGCCCUGGGUUCAAUCCCCAGCACCCCCC
Molecule: non-coding RNA, 73 nt
Organism: Marmota monax (woodchuck)
Lineage: Eukaryota; Metazoa; Chordata; Mammalia; Rodentia; Sciuridae
Source: the annotation of a RefSeq genome assembly